This 513-nucleotide ribosomal RNA is filed under the name uncultured bacterium. Its description in RNAcentral is "bacterial SSU rRNA". It matches the Rfam family "Bacterial small subunit ribosomal RNA", at positions 9 to 514 of the family's 1533-position model. The record is from RNAcentral.
GAGUUUGAUCCUGGCUCAGAUUGAACGCUGGCGGCAGGCCUAACACAUGCAAGUCGAGCGGUAGAGAGAAGCUUGCUUCUCUUGAGAGCGGCGGACGGGUGAGUAAUGCCUAGGAAUCUGCCUGGUAGUGGGGGAUAACGCUCGGAAACGGACGCUAAUACCGCAUACGUCCUACGGGAGAAAGCAGGGGACCUUCGGGCCUUGCGCUAUCAGAUGAGCCUAGGUCGGAUUAGCUAGUUGGUGAGGUAAUGGCUCACCAAGGCGACGAUCCGGUAACUGGUCUGAGAGGAUGAUCAGUCACACUGGAACUGAGACACGGUCCAGACUCCUACGGGAGGCAGCAGUGGGGAAUAUUGGACAAUGGGCGAAAGCCUGAUCCAGCCAUGCCGCGUGUGUGAAGAAGGUCUUCGGAUUGUAAAGCACUUUAAGUUGGGUAGGAAGGGCAGUAAAUUAAUAACUUUGCUGUUUUGACGUUACCGACAGAAUAAGCACCGGCUAACUCUGCGCCAGCCG